RNAcentral lists this ribosomal RNA (463 nucleotides) under Vreelandella stevensii. RNAcentral's name for it is "partial 16S ribosomal RNA". It matches the Rfam family "Bacterial small subunit ribosomal RNA", at positions 338 to 795 of the family's 1533-position model. The record is from RNAcentral. Lineage: Bacteria; Pseudomonadati; Pseudomonadota; Gammaproteobacteria; Oceanospirillales; Halomonadaceae.
CCUGGGGGGCAGCAGUGGGGAAUAUUGGACAAUGGGCGAAAGCCUGAUCCAGCCAUGCCGCGUGUGUGAAGAAGGCCUUCGGGUUGUAAAGCACUUUCAGUGGGGAAGAAAGCCUUGGGGCUAAUACCCUCGAGGAAGGACAUCACCCACAGAAGAAGCACCGGCUAACUCCGUGCCAGCAGCCGCGGUAAUACGGAGGGUGCGAGCGUUAAUCGGAAUUACUGGGCGUAAAGCGCGCGUAGGCGGUCUGAUAAGCCGGUUGUGAAAGCCCCGGGCUCAACCUGGGAACGGCAUCCGGAACUGUCAGGCUAGAGUGCAGGAGAGGAAGGUAGAAUUCCCGGUGUAGCGGUGAAAUGCGUAGAGAUCGGGAGGAAUACCAGUGGCGAAGGCGGCCUUCUGGACUGACACUGACGCUGAGGUGCGAAAGCGUGGGUAGCAAACAGGAUUAGAUACCCCUGUAGUC